UUCGUAGGCGGGUUGUUAAGUCAGAGGUGAAAUCUAACGGCUCAACCGUUAACCUGCCUUUGAAACUGGCAGACUUGAGUAUUGGAGAGGAAAGCGGAAUUCUUGGUGUAGCGGUGAAAUGCGUGGAUAUCAAGAGGAACACCCGUGGCGAAGGCGGCUUUCUGGCCAAAUACUGACGCUGAGGAACGAAAGCUAGGGGAGCGAACAGGAUUAGAUACCCUGGUAGUCC
RNAcentral lists this ribosomal RNA (229 nucleotides) under uncultured bacterium. Its description in RNAcentral is "partial 16S ribosomal RNA". It matches the Rfam family "Bacterial small subunit ribosomal RNA", at positions 568 to 796 of the family's 1533-position model. The record is from RNAcentral.